Molecule: ribosomal RNA, 233 nt
Filed under: uncultured bacterium
Lineage: Bacteria
Description: partial 16S ribosomal RNA
Rfam family: Bacterial small subunit ribosomal RNA
Source: RNAcentral
CGGGACGGGUGAGUAAUGUCUGGGAAACUGCCUGAUGGAGGGGGAUAACUACUGGAAACGGUAGCUAAUACCGCAUAACGUCGCAAGACCAAAGAGGGGGACCCUCGGGCCUCUUGCCAUCGGAUGUGCCCAGAUGGGAUUAGCUAGUAGGUGGGGUAACGGCUCACCUAGGCGACGAUCCCUAGCUGGUCUGAGAGGAUGACCAGCCACACUGGAACUGAGACACGGUCCAG